GGAUAGGUAACUGUUGCACCCCCAGAUAUUUCGGAAUUUGAUUUACCACAAUGCUCUAUCAGCCUAUAGCAUCAUGGGAAAUGUAGUUCACAAACUGGCAAAAUUCAUAGUUAGUGCUGUUGGAUAAUAUGUAGAAGUUAAAACAACAGCGCCUUUCAUCUUUCUGAAUUUCAGUAAAAUUAGUGUCAUUUGGUUGGCUAAUAAUACU
Pelobates cultripes (western spadefoot toad) is the source of this 208-nucleotide non-coding RNA. The record is from the annotation of a GenBank genome assembly. NCBI's taxonomy places the organism in Eukaryota, Metazoa, Chordata, Amphibia, Anura, Pelobatidae.